AAACUUAAGGAAUUGACGGGUCCCGCACAAGCAGCGGAGCGUGUGGUUUAAUUCGAUGAUACGCGAAAACUUACCAGGGUUUGACAUGUGGGUGGUAGGGAUCCGAAAGGUGACCGACUCUUCGGAGAGCCCUCACAGGUGCUGCAUGGCUGUCGUCAGCUCGUGUCGUGAGACGUUCGGUUAAGUCCGCUAACGAGCGCAACCCUCGUCGUGUGUUACAAGUGUCACGCGAGACCGCCGGUGUCAAGCCGGAGGAAGGUGAGGAUGACGUCAAGUCAGCAUGGCCUUUAUAUCCUGGGCUACACACACGCUACAAUGGUUGGCACAAUUGGUUGCGAAGCCGCGAGGCGGAGCCAAUCCGUAAAGUCAGCCUCAGUUCAGAUUGUAGGCUGCAACUCGCCUGCAUGAAGAUGGAGUUGCUAGUAAACGCAGGUCAGCAUUACUGCGUUGAAUACGUUCCCGGGGAUU
Molecule: ribosomal RNA, 468 nt
Filed under: uncultured Levilinea sp.
Lineage: Bacteria; Bacillati; Chloroflexota; Anaerolineae; Anaerolineales; Anaerolineaceae
Description: bacterial SSU rRNA
Rfam family: Bacterial small subunit ribosomal RNA
Source: RNAcentral